Long non-coding RNA from Scophthalmus maximus (turbot), 1790 nucleotides. RefSeq lists it as uncharacterized. NCBI's taxonomy places the organism in Eukaryota, Metazoa, Chordata, Actinopteri, Pleuronectiformes, Scophthalmidae. The record is from RefSeq and is a predicted model, not a curated record. The transcript has 3 exons.
CUACAAUCCUGAUGCGUCAACUCCCUGGGGGUGCGACAAUCCUAGCAACACAACAUCCUAGCAACUGCACUAGAGCUGCACCACCUCUGCACUCAAGGGACAAAGACACCCGGGCUUCACAGGUACAGCAAGUUGUACAUGAAGAAGUCCAGGACCUGGAGGUUGUCUGCCAUGGACCAGAGCACUGAGGACCAUACGAUCCCCGUCAUCAGCUAGAGAAGCAGGUCAGCAGAGGACCAGUUCUCUGUCCCAAUUCAGGGUCUGCCGCCUUCGGAGGGUGCCUGUCGGCUGGUUGCGUCACAGGAUCGCGACUCGGCUUUCCCAAUUCGUCGGCUCCUUCAAAUGCGGCCGACAUAUGCGCCCUUCCAGCCCCGCGCAGUGAAGGAAACACCAUUGGGUGGAUCCGGACUUCCGGCAAAAUGGCGAGCAGGGCAAACAGAAAGUUUUAAGCUCCGUUCGUCUGGUCCAAAAUGUUGACCUAAACUCUGUCCUUAACUCAAAAAUCUGCUCAAGACAACCAAAAUACCCCAAAUAAAUGAUGUCGUCCGCCAACGAUAAAGAUUUCCCUCCACUUGGCGCAGCUAGCGCUAACAAUUUAGCUUUCCAUAGCUAUGCUGCUAGCGCUGCUCCUACCCCGAUGGAGACAAACAAACCUGGAAACCCGAGCGUAAGACGCCCACUGAAUACCACUCCAACUAAACUCCCUCCAGCCAAGAAGAUGGCCACAGAUACUGAACCCUCCCCUGCUGAUGUUUUAGCUGCAAUAAAAAGUCUGGAUAACAAGGUGGAAGAUUUUGGGAAAUAACUUAAAGAAAGCUCUGAAAUGUUUGCCAGCAUCGUACAAUGGGUGGAUAUGAACUCCGUUGGAAUCUCCGAAUGCAGAUCCAAAAUGGAAAUGAUGGAAAUAGAACAUUCAGACCUGAAAAAAAGAAAAUGCCUAACUAAGAGAAAAAGUGGAAAGAUACAAACGCCGCUGGAUGUUGACAUUCUCUGGUCUCAAGGAAGAAGACGGAGAAAACAUCAGAGAAAAAAAUGAAAAGCUGCUCCUAAAAACCCUUUCCACAAUGGAAAGAGAAUAUUGAAAAUGUCGUUGAUUCGGUACAUUGCAUUGGGAGGAGAGAAGAGGGACGCAGUCACCAGGUCAUCAUGGAGUUUGUGAGAAGGCUUCAUCGGGUUGCAGUUUGGAAAACAACCAAAAACUCUUCCGUAUGUAAGGAACAAGGUGUUCACUUCACACAGGAUUUCACCAAGGAGGAUCGGCAGACCAGGGAGCAACUCUGGCCAAAAGUCAAGCAGGCCAGGCCUCUGGGUAAAGAAGCAUUUUACAGAGGCCACGUCGCAGUAAUCGAUCGAUGCAUAGUUAAGGCCUAAAGUCUGCUCUUCUCCUAAUUCAGAUGAGGGCCUGCAACACUCGCAGGUUUUUUUUUGAGGUCUAAGAGACAAUCUGAAAAGAAAGGGCCAUGUUUCUUUACUGUAAAAGUAAAAAAACACAAUGUCUAUUUCUCCAAGAAACACACUCCAAUGAAUCUGAUGAAUUUUUUUUGUAAACACAGUGGGGAGAUAAAAUUCUUUUCACAUGGUAUAACUAGAUCCGCAGGAGUCGCAAUUCUGUUUAAUAACUGUCCGGGAAAAGUUGCAUUGACUAAAUCCAGUAAUGAUGGUCACUGGAUUCUUUCUGUAUUACAUAUAGAUGACUCCUCACUAAUUCUAGGAAAUGUUUAUGGUUACUGUAACACAGUGCAAAACAGAAACCUUCUUGAAGUUAUCAAAGAUACUAUUGUUCAACUCAA